This is a long non-coding RNA of Oryzias melastigma (Indian medaka), 518 nucleotides long. RefSeq lists it as uncharacterized. Lineage: Eukaryota; Metazoa; Chordata; Actinopteri; Beloniformes; Adrianichthyidae. The record is from RefSeq and is a predicted model, not a curated record. The transcript has 3 exons.
UCUGCGGACACAGAGACGGUCACUCAUGAGGGGUCAGAGGCCGCAGGUUCAGCUGCUUCCGCGCGGGGGGAGCCGUUAGCACAGCGGCUAACUCGGCUAGCAUCUGAACGAACUCGGCGGGGAGCCCGCUAACGGCGCCGGGACCGGACACUACCCCCCGGUCGCCGCACUCACCGUGGACGUUCCCGCGUCGGAGCCCGCGCCGCCGCUCGGUUUGGGUGUUGGUUCCGUCCUCAAUGAGGAUUUCCUGCAGAGCGGCGGUUCGGCGGUGGACUCUGUGAAGGCACAUCAGCGACAGACGUCAUGGCAGUGAGUGAACGCGCCGACCUUCAGGUCUGACAGACAAAGUGCUUUAAGACGUUGGAGUCUCGGACCAGACCGGAGCAGAACGGUUCUGUGCAGGAACGUCCUCCGCUGCUGGAGGUCUGAAGGCUCUGGUGAAGAACUAGAACACAUUCACACUCAUUCACAGACAAACAGACCUGUUUCUGCACCUUUCCUCUUUUUUCUUAUAAAAA